AUUGAACGCUGGCGGCAUGCCUUACACAUGCAAGUCGAACGGUAACGCGGGGCAACCUGGCGACGAGUGGCGAACGGGUGAGUAAUGCAUCGGAACGUGCCCAAGUAGUGGGGGAUAGCCCGGCGAAAGCCGGAUUAAUACCGCAUACGACCUACGGGUGAAAGGGGGGGAUCGCAAGACCUCUCGCUAUUGGAGCGGCCGAUAUCAGAUUAGGUAGUUGGUGGGGUAAAGGCCCACCAAGCCUGCGAUCUGUAGUUGGUCUGAGAGGACGACCAGCCACACUGGGACUGAGACACGGCCCAGACUCCUACGGGAGGCAGCAGUGGGGAAUUUUGGACAAUGGGCGCAAGCCUGAUCCAGCAAUGCCGCGUGCAGGAAGAAGGCC
RNAcentral lists this ribosomal RNA (385 nucleotides) under uncultured bacterium. RNAcentral's name for it is "bacterial SSU rRNA". It matches the Rfam family "Bacterial small subunit ribosomal RNA", at positions 29 to 416 of the family's 1533-position model. The record is from RNAcentral.